CAGUAGCCGCGGGAAUACGUAGGGUGCAAGCGUUAAUCGGAAUUACUGGGCGUAAAGCGUGCGCAGGCGGUUCGUUAAGACAGAUGUGAAAUCCCCGGGCUUAACCUGGGAACUGCAUUUGUGACUGGCGGGCUAGAGUAUGGCAGAGGGGGGUAGAAUUCCACGUGUAGCAGUGAAAUGCGUAGAGAUGUGGAGGAAUACCGAUGGCGAAGGCAGCCCCCUGGACCAAUACUGACGCUCAUGCACGAAAGCGUGGGGAGCAAACAGGAUUAGAUACCCCGGUAGUCCCUGUCUCUUAUAC
This 301-nucleotide ribosomal RNA is filed under the name uncultured bacterium. RNAcentral's name for it is "partial 16S ribosomal RNA". It matches the Rfam family "Bacterial small subunit ribosomal RNA", at positions 509 to 807 of the family's 1533-position model. The record is from RNAcentral.